CGUUACCCGCCGCCCAACCGCCCUCCGUGCGUGCCCGCGCCCCGCAGGCUGCUCCCACCGCUCCCCCGGCACCGCUUUUGUUUUUGUUUCUCUCUCUCUUUUUUUUUUUUUUUUUUUAAGUCCGGCUCCCCAGCUGUGAGAGCUGACUCUUCAAACCGGCGCUUUGAGCGUCCACGCUUGGCCGUGCCAAAAAAGUAACGACGGGAAGUGAACAAAGGACAUGUCAAGGAUCUGAGGAGAUUCCCCUCUCUACGCACCGCCCGAGCCGCUCGGCCCGCGUUGCUCACUGUCCCUGGGGCUGCUGACGAGUGGUGAACCAAACUCUUCCCUUUUUCUUCUGGCGAGGUCGCUUUAACGAGAGGAAAAAUAACGCUUUACUCUCGCACCGAGCUGGAGCUUGUUUUUAAUAGUGUUAGGAGCAAUCCUAACUGCUGGAAUUUUCUCCAAAGGGAAGACUGGUUUUUGACUUCACAUGUGGCAGCACAUGAAGCAGAUAGGCUGUAAAGACCAGGAGGGUCAUGCUACUAGUAGCAGAGCAGUGAGCACUCACUCCUAGUUCCCCAGGUUGGCAAAGCUGUGAUUUUAGCAUUACUUAAUCUGCUGGAACUGUAUCAGCACUAAUAAUCAUAUCUCAUGCUGCUCCCUGAACAACUUUGGCUUCUCUGCAGCUCCUUGGAUUUUAUAGAGUCCUGUUCUCCGUAGCUUCUGGGGACAAAAGGUUGAAACAAACCUUUGUGGAUUGUGUAAGAACGUGUCUGGAUAUGCAUCUGAUGUCAGCCACAUACAGCAGAUAAAUCCAAGGAGGUUCACCAGGUAAAAAUUUCAACUGCCACAGAAAUAACAUGGAGGAAAUUGUAUAGAAAAGUCAAUAAUUUGCUAUUGAUUGGAGGCUGAAAUUGAAG
Molecule: long non-coding RNA, 902 nt
Filed under: Gallus gallus (chicken)
Lineage: Eukaryota; Metazoa; Chordata; Aves; Galliformes; Phasianidae
Description: lncRNA (ENSGALG00010002297.1)
Source: RNAcentral